AGUGAACGCUGGCGGUAGGCCUAACACAUGCAAGUCGAACGGCAGCACAGUAAGAGCUUGCUCUUACGGGUGGCGAGUGGCGGACGGGUGAGGAAUACAACGGACUCUACUUUUUCGUGGGGGAUAACGUAGGGAAACCUACGCUAAUACCGCAUACGACCUACGGGUGAAAGCAGGGGAUCUUCGGACCUUGCGCGAUUGAAUGAGCCGAUGUCGGAUUAGCUAGUUGGCGGGGUAAACGCCCACCAAGGCGACGAUCCGUAGCUGGUCUGAGAGGAUGAUCAGCCACACUGGAACUGAGACACGGUCCAGACUCCUACGGGAGGCGGCAGUGGGGAAUAUUGGACAAUGGGCGCAAGCCUGAUCCAGCCAGACCGCGUGGGUGAAGAAGGCCUUCGGGUUGUAAAGCCCUUUUGUUGGGAAAGAAAAGCAGCAGGUUAAUACCCCGCUGUUCUGACGGUACCCAAAGAAUAAGCACCGGCUAACUUCGUG
Molecule: ribosomal RNA, 492 nt
Filed under: uncultured bacterium
Lineage: Bacteria
Description: partial 16S ribosomal RNA
Rfam family: Bacterial small subunit ribosomal RNA
Source: RNAcentral